UACGGAGGGUGCAAGCGUUGCUCGGAAUUAUUGGGCGUAAAGGGUAGGUAGGUGGUCUCAUUUGUCUGGGGUGAAAUCCUUGGGCUUAACUCAAGAAGUGCCCCAGAAACGGUGAGACUAGAGUACUGGAGAGGGUCGUGGAAUUCCCGGUGUAGCGGUGAAAUGCGUAGAGGUCGGGAGGAACACCAGAGGCGAAAGCGGCGACCUGGACAGUUACUGACACUCAACUACGAAAGCGUGGGGAGCAAACAGG
Molecule: ribosomal RNA, 253 nt
Filed under: uncultured bacterium
Lineage: Bacteria
Description: partial 16S ribosomal RNA
Rfam family: Bacterial small subunit ribosomal RNA
Source: RNAcentral